UAGAAGGUGGCUGUGUGGAGGUGUAGGUUUCAGGUAUAGAAGGUGGCUGUGUGGAGGUGUAGGUUUCAGGUAUAGAAGGUGGCUGUGUGGAGGUUUCAGGUGUACAAGGUGGCUGUGUGGAGGUGCAGGUUUCAGGUGUAGAAGGUGGCUGUGUGGAGGUUUCAGGUGUAGAAGGUGGCUGUGUGGAGGUUUCAGGUGCAGAAGGUGGCUGUGUGGAGGUUUCAGGUGUAGAAGGUGGCUGUGUGGAGGUUUCAGGUGUAGAAGGUGGCUGUGUGGAGGUUUCAGGUGUAGAAGGUGGCUGUGUGUAGGUUUCAGGUGUAGAAGGUGGCUGUGUGGAGGUUUC
This is a long non-coding RNA of Perca fluviatilis (European perch), 343 nucleotides long. RefSeq lists it as uncharacterized. The record is from RefSeq and is a predicted model, not a curated record. The transcript is spliced from 3 exons. NCBI's taxonomy places the organism in Eukaryota, Metazoa, Chordata, Actinopteri, Perciformes, Percidae.